This 1278-nucleotide long non-coding RNA is filed under the name Crocodylus porosus (Australian saltwater crocodile). Its description in RNAcentral is "lncRNA (ENSCPRG00005007634.1)". The record is from RNAcentral. Lineage: Eukaryota; Metazoa; Chordata; Crocodylia; Crocodylidae.
CUCCUCUUGAAGCUGGCCCCUAGGACUUCAGAGCUGUUACUCAUCCCUCUUUCUCCAUGUAUGUAGAAGUUUCUCUAAGAUCUAAAAGCUCCUUACAAGCCUGGAUGAACUUCAUUAUUUCCAUUUCACAGACAAGGAAAAAUGAGGCAAAAUGAGCUGGAGUGACUUGUUCAAGACCAUUCAAAUGAUCAGUGACAGAGUUAAGAAUAGAGCCUCAAAUCCCUUGACUCCCCAGUUCUAUGCCCUGUCUGGGAGAUGGGCUGUCCCCAAGGAAAGUUGAAAGGAUACAAUAGAGAGGCACAGGGGAACCUACUUAGAUGGAAACAUAUAGCAAAACAAGGAGACUCCAGCAUAUUCCCAGAGGGUGCUGCUCAGUCAGCUCAGAGCCUGGCAGCUGCGCCACAACGCUGUCCAGGACCGCCUCGUGCGGGCCAUCCUGGCCGUGGCGGGGGAGAUCUCCAUGAACUGCACCGUCCCGGGCUGCGAGAGCCAGCUGCGCCCCGACAUCGUCGUCACGGACCACGAGGCCAAGAAGAUCGUGACGGUGGACGUUACCAUCCCCUUCGAGAACCGGCGCCAAGCCUUCACCGAGGCCCGGGCUCGCAAGCGGGAGAAGUACGCCCCGCUGGCCGACACCCUGAGGAGCCGCAGCUACGACGUGACGGUGGACGCGCUCAUCGUGGGGACGCUCGGAUCCUGGGACCCCAGCAACGAGAGCGUCCUCCGCGCCUGCCACGUUUCCCGCCGCUACGCCAAGCUGAUGCGCUGCCUCAUGGUGUCCAACACCAUCCGCUGGUCCCGCGACAUCUACGUGGAGCACAUCACAGGCCACUGCCAGUACAUCGACCCCUCCAGACCAGCCGCCACCGGACCGGACCCAGAGGACACCGCCGCCUGAACCGCCCCCCCACCACUUCGCUUCAUGUCGAGAGGACUUCGCUGCCACGGACGACCCCGCCCCACCUGAAGAGGACCCCCGCGAUUGGACUCUAUGGACUGAGACGCUCACUUGGAGCCACUUCCUUCAACAUCGCGGACCACUAUAAUGGGUACGUGUGUAUCUAUCUCCUUUCCCUCUCAGCGUCGUGACCCCCCCUCCCCCUUCCACAUCCCCCCACCCCCAGGCUUAGUUGGCUAACAUUGUAUGGUAUGUAACCUAGUCGCGUUCCCCUCCUCUCCCCCAUCCCUCGAUUGUUAGUCCCUUGCUCGGGCGCUUUGUAUUUCCAUCUCAACUUUGUCAUCUUUUUCCUGGAUUCCCCAUCCAAAACAUCUACUAAU